RNAcentral lists this ribosomal RNA (238 nucleotides) under uncultured bacterium. RNAcentral describes it as "partial 16S ribosomal RNA". It matches the Rfam family "Bacterial small subunit ribosomal RNA", at positions 524 to 761 of the family's 1533-position model. The record is from RNAcentral.
UACGUAGGGGGCAAGCGUUGUCCGGAAUCAUUGGGCGUAAGAGCGCGUAGGCGGCCCUGUAAGUCCGCUGUGAAAGUCAAGGGCUCAACCCUUGGAUGCCGGUGGAUACUGCAGGGCUAGAGUCCGGAAGAGGCGAGUGGAAUUCCUGGUGUAGCGGUGAAAUGCGCAGAUAUCAGGAGGAACACCGAUGGCGAAGGCAGCUCGCUGGGACGGUGACUGACGCUGGGGCGCGAAAGCG